ACCUAUUUAAGGUACCCAAAUGCCUCAAUUUCAGACUUAGGGUUUGUUUUUUUGCCCCAAUUUCAUGUACAAUGAAAUGAUGAACACAUACAUAAUGACGUAAAGGACUUUGCUUACUUCAGUCUAUAUUCAGAAAUGAUGUAAAUUUAUAGCUUGCUUGAAUGAAGCCACAAAGGCUCGAAUUUUGCCUCAAUUAUUUCAGUAUAGCUGUCUCGAAUGAAGCCAACUAUCAUUUCUGCCUCAAUUACUUUUAUUUUACACAUAAUGCCUCAAUUUACUUGUGUAUUUUGUAUUGAUAGAAAGGCAUUUUUAUUACAGAAUUAUUGAAGAACGAUGAGGGCCGGAGACAUUGUUUCUCUUUUCCAUAGAGAAGCUAUUAAAAUAGGGAAGAAGAAGAAGAAGGUAGGGAAUAUGCUUGAUAUGGCUGAAGAGCAAACCAGAGAACUUGUGUGUAUGCGGUUGUGAUUUAAGAGCAAACUCAUGAACCAACAGUGUCUAUGUCGAAUGUGACCAUAGAGCAAAAGCAUAGGCCAGAAACAUAGUCUUUUUAAACUUCUCAAGGUAUGUACUAUGGUCCAUGUAGUAUUUACUAUGUAGGCUUCUUUAUAAAAAGCUAAGAUUUAAUUGAGAAUUUUAGUGUGUUCGUAAGACCAUAUUGAUCUA
RNAcentral lists this long non-coding RNA (663 nucleotides) under Triticum aestivum (bread wheat). RNAcentral's name for it is "long non-coding RNA (TAES_LNC022499)". The record is from RNAcentral. Lineage: Eukaryota; Viridiplantae; Streptophyta; Magnoliopsida; Poales; Poaceae.